Molecule: transfer RNA, 66 nt
Filed under: Curtobacterium luteum
Lineage: Bacteria; Bacillati; Actinomycetota; Actinomycetes; Micrococcales; Microbacteriaceae
Description: tRNA-Gly
Rfam family: tRNA
About the family: Transfer RNA (tRNA) molecules are approximately 80 nucleotides in length.
Source: RNAcentral
AUCGGAGAGGGGCCGAGCCAGCUUCCCAAGCUGGUAGCGCGGGUUCGAUUCCCGUCACUCGCUCCA